This 69-nucleotide transfer RNA is filed under the name Marmota marmota marmota (Alpine marmot). It matches the Rfam family "tRNA". From Rfam's summary of the family: Transfer RNA (tRNA) molecules are approximately 80 nucleotides in length. Their secondary structure includes four short double-helical elements and three loops (D, anti-codon, and T loops). Lineage: Eukaryota; Metazoa; Chordata; Mammalia; Rodentia; Sciuridae. RNAcentral also lists the same sequence under 1 other name. The record is from Rfam by way of RNAcentral.
GGCUAUAUAGCUCAGUGGUAAAGUGCUUGCCUUGCAUGCAUGAGGCACUGAGUUUGAUCCUCAGCACCA